GAUGAACGCUAGCGGCAGGCCUAAUACAUGCAAGUCGGACGGGAUUGGGGAGCUUGCUCCCCAUGAGAGUGGCGCACAGGUGCGUAACACGUAUGUAACCUACCCUUGUCAGGGGGAUAGCCUCUCGAAAGAGAGAUUAAUAACGCAUAACAUUAUUGGAUGGCAUCAUUUAAUAAUCAAAUAUUUAUAGGACAAGGAUGGGCAUGCGGGACAUUAGCUAGUUGGUAGGGUAACGGCUUACCAAGGCUACGAUGUCUAGGGGAUCUGAGAGGAUGGCCCCCCACACUGGUACUGAGACACGGACCAGACUCCUACGGGAGGCAGCAGUAAGGAAUAUUGGUCAAUGGGCGCAAGCCUGAACCAGCCAUGCCGCGUGCAGGAAGACGGCCCUACGGGUUGUAAACUGCUUUUGCGCCGGAAUAAACCCUUUUACGAGUAAGAGGCUGAAUGUACAGCGAGAAUAAGGAUCGGCUAACUCCGUGCCAGCAGCCGCAGUAA
This 498-nucleotide ribosomal RNA is filed under the name uncultured bacterium. RNAcentral's name for it is "partial 16S ribosomal RNA". It matches the Rfam family "Bacterial small subunit ribosomal RNA", at positions 28 to 523 of the family's 1533-position model. The record is from RNAcentral.